Molecule: ribosomal RNA, 2800 nt
Filed under: Campylobacter jejuni
Lineage: Bacteria; Pseudomonadati; Campylobacterota; Epsilonproteobacteria; Campylobacterales; Campylobacteraceae
Description: partial 23S ribosomal RNA
Rfam family: Bacterial large subunit ribosomal RNA
Source: RNAcentral
GCACUGGGGGUUGUAGGACUGCAAUGUGCAAGAGGUAAGUUUAGCAGAACAUUCUGGAAAGUAUAACCAUAGAGGGUGAUAGUCCCGUAUGCGAAAAACAAACCUUAGCUAGCAGUAUCCUGAGUAGGGCGGGACACGAGGAAUCCUGUCUGAAUCCGGGUCGACCACGAUCCAACCCUAAAUACUAAUACCAGAUCGAUAGUGCACAAGUACCGUGAGGGAAAGGUGAAAAGAACUGAGGUGAUCAGAGUGAAAUAGAACCUGAAACCAUUUGCUUACAAUCAUUCAGAGCACUAUGUAGCAAUACAGUGUGAUGGACUGCCUUUUGCAUAAUGAGCCUGCGAGUUGUGGUGUCUGGCAAGGUUAAGCAAACGCGAAGCCGUAGCGAAAGCGAGUCUGAAUAGGGCGCUUAGUCAGAUGCUGCAGACCCGAAACGAAGUGAUCUAUCCAUGAGCAAGUUGAAGCUAGUGUAAGAACUAGUGGAGGACUGAACCCAUAGGCGUUGAAAAGCCCCGGGAUGACUUGUGGAUAGGGGUGAAAGGCCAAUCAAACUUCGUGAUAGCUGGUUCUCUCCGAAAUAUAUUUAGGUAUAGCGUUGUGUCGUAAUAUAAGGGGGUAGAGCACUGAAUGGGCUAGGGCAUACACCAAUGUACCAAACCCUAUCAAACUCCGAAUACCUUAUAUGUAAUCACAGCAGUCAGGCGGCGAGUGAUAAAAUCCGUCGUCAAGAGGGAAACAACCCAGACUACCAGCUAAGGUCCCUAAAUCUUACUUAAGUGGAAAACGAUGUGAAGUUACUUAAACAACCAGGAGGUUGGCUUAGAAGCAGCCAUCCUUUAAAGAAAGCGUAAUAGCUCACUGGUCUAGUGAUUUUGCGCGGAAAAUAUAACGGGGCUAAAGUAAGUACCGAAGCUGUAGACUUGCACACAACUUAGAUUAUUUAAGUUUAGAAUAUGAGAAACUAAGUUAUAUGUUUAGUUAUAUUUUUACUGAUUUUUAUAGAGUAAAGAUAGAAAUAAAACUUAGUAAAAUCAGUAAAAAUAUUCUUAGACUAAAGUUAAGUAGUUUAAGUUGUGUGCAAGUGGUAGGAGAGCGUUCUAUUUGCGUCGAAGGUAUACCGGUAAGGAGUGCUGGAGCGAAUAGAAGUGAGCAUGCAGGCAUGAGUAGCGAUAAUUAAUGUGAGAAUCAUUAACGCCGUAAACCCAAGGUUUCCUACGCGAUGCUCGUCAUCGUAGGGUUAGUCGGGUCCUAAGUCGAGUCCGAAAGGGGUAGACGAUGGCAAAUUGGUUAAUAUUCCAAUACCAACAUUAGUGUGCGAUGGAAGGACGCUUAGGGCUAAGGGGGCUAGCGGAUGGAAGUGCUAGUCUAAGGUCGUAGGAGGUUGUACAGGCAAAUCCGUAUAACAAUACUCCGAGAACUGAAAGGCUUUUUGAAGUCUUCGGAUGGAUAGAAGAACCCCUGAUGCCGUCGAGCCAAGAAAAGUUUCUAAGUUUAGCUAAUGUUGCCCGUACCGUAAACCGACACAGGUGGGUGGGAUGAGUAUUCUAAGGCGCGUGGAAGAACUCUCUUUAAGGAACUCUGCAAAAUAGCACCGUAUCUUCGGUAUAAGGUGUGGUUAGCUUUGUAUUAGGAUUUACUCCGAAAGCAAGGAAACUUACAACAAAGAGUCCCUCCCGACUGUUUACCAAAAACACAGCACUCUGCUAACUCGUAAGAGGAUGUAUAGGGUGUGACGCCUGCCCGGUGCUCGAAGGUUAAUUGAUGGGGUUAGCAUUAGCGAAGCUCUUGAUCGAAGCCCGAGUAAACGGCGGCCGUAACUAUAACGGUCCUAAGGUAGCGAAAUUCCUUGUCGGUUAAAUACCGACCUGCAUGAAUGGCGUAACGAGAUGGGAGCUGUCUCAAAGAGGGAUCCAGUGAAAUUGUAGUGGAGGUGAAAAUUCCUCCUACCCGCGGCAAGACGGAAAGACCCCGUGGACCUUUACUACAGCUUGACACUGCUACUUGGAUAAGAAUGUGCAGGAUAGGUGGGAGGCUUUGAGUAUAUGACGCCAGUUGUAUAUGAGCCAUUGUUGAGAUACCACUCUUUCUUAUUUGGGUAGCUAACCAGCUUGAGUUAUCCUCAAGUGGGACAAUGUCUGGUGGGUAGUUUGACUGGGGCGGUCGCCUCCCAAAUAAUAACGGAGGCUUACAAAGGUUGGCUCAGAACGGUUGGAAAUCGUUCGUAGAGUAUAAAGGUAUAAGCCAGCUUAACUGCAAGACAUACAAGUCAAGCAGAGACGAAAGUCGGUCUUAGUGAUCCGGUGGUUCUGUGUGGAAGGGCCAUCGCUCAAAGGAUAAAAGGUACCCCGGGGAUAACAGGCUGAUCUCCCCCAAGAGCUCACAUCGACGGGGAGGUUUGGCACCUCGAUGUCGGCUCAUCGCAUCCUGGGGCUGGAGCAGGUCCCAAGGGUAUGGCUGUUCGCCAUUUAAAGCGGUACGCGAGCUGGGUUCAGAACGUCGUGAGACAGUUCGGUCCCUAUCUGCCGUGGGCGUAAGAAGAUUGAAGAGAUUUGACCCUAGUACGAGAGGACCGGGUUGAACAAACCACUGGUGUAGCUGUUGUUCUGCCAAGAGCAUCGCAGCGUAGCUAAGUUUGGAAAGGAUAAACGCUGAAAGCAUCUAAGCGUGAAGCCAACUCUAAGAUGAAUCUUCUCUAAGCUCUCUAGAAGACUACUAGUUUGAUAGGCUGGGUGUGUAAUGGAUGAAAGUCCUUUAGCUGACCAGUACUAAUAGAGCGUUUGGCUUAUCUUUAAUAAAGCAU